GUUUGCCGCCUUCCUAGUUAUUAACAGCAUUUGAUGGUUGCUGUCGAUCUACUACAUCGUGGUGGUUUAUUCGUUCAUUCGUUCAUCGAAGCCCUUCGUGAAGAUCCAUCGGGAACGAGUGCAGGAUUUUCUCGCCCUCUUACAGGAGGUGUUCAAGCUUAGAUGGCUGCAAUGGGAUUCCCUCCAUACGCGCAUAUACGCAGUAUCCCAGAAGGGCAGAGUAAACUCAACAAAGCAAAAAUGUGACUGACCUAAGUGAUUACUGAGCUCAAAUGUAGAGAUUUUUCGGAUUGGUAGAGAGUAAAACCAAGGUACCAGUCAUCAUCUUUCCCCUGUGGGGAGGGGUUGUGUCAAAAUGAUACUUACCUGAUUAAGGUUAACCCCAUCGAGACCCACGGUAAACCAUGUGAUCCCCCAUUUGGCUCUGUAGUAUUCUAAUGAAAUCCCCUCACUGGCAGUCAAUUUUCUAUGCCCCUUCCCCCAUUAGACUCUGUUGGCGAAGAGCGAUCCUCCCUCAGUUCUCCCCUAAAAGGAGGGUCUCUAUCAUGUCAAUGGGGUGAUCGAUGGUAUUUACGGCCAACGGUUAAAAUUUUGGCCAAUUUAAGGCUAACGGUUGAUAAUUUUCCAUUGUGGUCACCAGACAAAAUUUUUACGGUUAAGUUUUUUAUGACGACCGAUUAAAAGUUGUCAGUUUUACGUCUAAUCUACCGGUUAACCGCAUUGAAACCCUCUAAAAA
This is a long non-coding RNA of Stylophora pistillata, 737 nucleotides long. Lineage: Eukaryota; Metazoa; Cnidaria; Anthozoa; Scleractinia; Pocilloporidae. The record is from RefSeq and is a predicted model, not a curated record.